GCUUCUAUUAGCGGAAUAUUGGACGAAGAGGAAAGGAAAGCCGUUCUUAAUUCGCGAAUUCUUGUCGUUGGUGCUGGAGGCAUUGGAUGCGAACUAUUGAAAAAUUUAGUUUUAACGGGCUUCAGUAAUAUAGACGUGCCAGGACAAAGAAUCAAAAACUGUGACUGUCUCGGUUAAUCCAGGAUGUUAACUGAAUCUACUUUGGCCAGCCCUCAUACCAUCAUCAGGUAUUGAAAGCAUUGAAAAAGUUUAUAAUACUUGACCUACAGCAUACUGGAAAAAGUCAGAUUGCCUACAAUUCUUGUCGAACAUAGAAUACACAAAGUUCUCUGGGACUUCCUCAGGUUUGAUGUAAUAUUAAAUUUGAAUACUAGACUGUUUUUCAAAUUCAGUCAUUUGAAUUAGAUGCCAGUUAUUCAAGCAAACUUUACUAUUUAGAAUUGAGUUUUUAGAUUCUA
This is a long non-coding RNA of Centruroides sculpturatus (bark scorpion), 458 nucleotides long. RefSeq lists it as uncharacterized. NCBI's taxonomy places the organism in Eukaryota, Metazoa, Arthropoda, Arachnida, Scorpiones, Buthidae. The transcript is spliced from 3 exons. The record is from RefSeq and is a predicted model, not a curated record.